UUGAGUGCAUUAGAAACUGAUGUUUUCUAUCUACAGAACCAGCACAUCACAGGCAAUCAUAAUGUAAGCUCUCCCACUGAGGCCUGCCAGAAUGUCCUCAAAUCUUUUCUAGAUGGACCACCUUUUAAGAUGAGAAAACACAACAGUCUCUACGCCGAUUCAAUCCUUAGCCUUU
This 175-nucleotide small RNA is filed under the name Crocodylus porosus (Australian saltwater crocodile). RNAcentral's name for it is "TUC338 (ENSCPRG00005009883.1)". The record is from RNAcentral. Lineage: Eukaryota; Metazoa; Chordata; Crocodylia; Crocodylidae.